CACUCUAGGUGUGUAUGAUGGUAAGCUGAUAUAUUUGGGGCAGGAACUCCUCGAGUUUGAUGUGCUGUUUGCGGUGGCCCCGGUUAAGCAAUCACGAGGCGUCAAAUCUUUAUUAAAGCACAAUCGAAGUUCCUGGAUAGAACCAUGCCUGCAAACCAAUUGUGGUGACGCCCCUACAUCUCUCUCAAUGGUGGAAAUAAUGUCCCCCAACGGAUAUUUCACAGCAUUGGAGGCUAGGAAACCAGCAUUGCUCAAAAUUGCCGUAAUGUUAUAUUUGGAGUAUAGAUCGAGGACCAUGGAGAAGUAACUAUACUCAUCUUUUACUACUGGCUAAG
Molecule: unclassified non-coding RNA, 335 nt
Filed under: Hevea brasiliensis (rubber tree)
Lineage: Eukaryota; Viridiplantae; Streptophyta; Magnoliopsida; Malpighiales; Euphorbiaceae
Source: RNAcentral